This is a small nuclear RNA of Camelus dromedarius (Arabian camel), 109 nucleotides long. The record is from Ensembl. NCBI's taxonomy places the organism in Eukaryota, Metazoa, Chordata, Mammalia, Artiodactyla, Camelidae.
GGUCCUCCAUGUGCUCACUUCCCUGUUCUGAAAUUGGAGUGACAGAGGAAGAUCAGCAUGAACUCUGUACAAGGAUGACAUGCAAAUUCGUGAAGCGUUCCAGGUUUUU